Molecule: long non-coding RNA, 671 nt
Organism: Amphiprion ocellaris (clown anemonefish)
Lineage: Eukaryota; Metazoa; Chordata; Actinopteri; Pomacentridae
Exons: 2
Source: RefSeq, a predicted model, not a curated record
CCGGCCCGCGCGAGCUGCAGCCAGAACUAAUCGACUCCAGAGAAAUCGUACGGAAAAUCAGUUUCACACAAUAGUUCCAACCCACAGUUUAGCCGCGAUUCCACAAGCAUCUACUCUGCGCGGUACGGUUCGCCACUAUUGUAUCUGACUCGGCUCGUCUCGGUUUAGUUGCUUUUCCAUAUAGCCUCGUCGUGGGUGGAGUCGUCAUAGCAGCGAGCCGAAAGUCCCUUAACGUCAUUUGCGUGCGACACAAACGCAACAUAACGGAGACGAUGGUUCACCUGCUGCUCGGUCUGUGGCUUUCUGUCAGAUUCAAAGUAAUAGAAGAGUCGGAGAAAGCUGAGAGCGGCGAGUCGGAACACUGAGGAGACACACAGGAGAGUUUGGGAGGCGAUACAGCAGCAUCAAGCUGAAGACAAGAGGAUAUGAACGAGACGACAUAUGAGGAUGCUCUCUUAUGAGACUUCAUGGGAUUUACCUGAAGCAGCAGCACAUGAGCCUGCAGUGGUACAAGGUGUAGAGGAGGAGGACAGAGAUGUACAGGAUGCACUGAUGCACUACGUGUCAUGCAAAAGUUAAGUUAUUCUUCUCGUUAUACUUGUUUUUCUGUCCCCGGACUGCUGUUGUUUUCUUUAAUGCAAUUCUGACAAUAAACUUUUGUACCUUUUGCA